Molecule: ribosomal RNA, 465 nt
Filed under: uncultured bacterium
Lineage: Bacteria
Description: bacterial SSU rRNA
Rfam family: Bacterial small subunit ribosomal RNA
Source: RNAcentral
AGCGAACGCUAGCGGCGGGCCUAACACAUGCAAGUCGAGCGCAUACCUUCGGGUAUGAGCGGCGGACGGGUGAGUAACGCGUAGGUCAUCUACCCUUUGGUGGGGGAUAACCCAGGGAAACUUGGGCUAAUACCGCACGAGGUCCACGGAUCAAAGCCUUCGGGCGCCAGAGGAUGAGCCUGCGUCGCAUUACCUAGUUGGCGGGGUAACGGCCCACCAAGGGGACGAUGCGUAGCUGGUCUGAGAGGAUGAUCAGCCACACUGGGACUGAGACACGGCCCAGACUCCUACGGGAGGCAGCAGUGGGGAAUAUUGCGCAAUGGGGGGAAACCCUGACGCAGCCACGCCGCGUGGGUGAUGAAGGCCUUCGGGUUGUUAAAGACCCCUGUCGGGAGGGACGAAGUUCUUGACGGUACCGUCCAAAGAAAGACACCGGCGUAACUCCGUGCCAGCAGCCGCGGUAAU